GUGAGUAAUCUCUUGAUAUUGUAAUACCACCUAGGGAUAGGGGUAGGACGAUCAAUUGCGCUAACUUCUGUUUAUAAUGCGGUAUUAAUUACUAGGGGAGGCUAGGGAUAACAAGCCAGUAGUUAAUAUUAGGCCAUUUUCGCCGAGGGAUCGGGUUAAGGGGAGGCUAAGAAAGUCUCAUAACAAUUGAAUUAAUCAAACUAAUAUUCAAGGGUAGUAUGUAAGAGAGAGUGGAAUAGAUGAAAUUGUAAACCCCCAACAACAUCCAUUCAUCCAUUGUUUUAGUUUGUCAAUUGAAUCAACUUUAUUUUUGCAUGUUAAUAUUUUUGUUCUCAAAUCCAAUUUAUUAAUUUUUAUUUUUCAAGUCUUAUUAUUUUAAUUCACGCGAACAAGAAAGCCAUACGAGUCUCUUGGGAAAACGAUACUUGGUCUUACCAUUUAUAUUACUUGUAUGAUUUGGUACACUUGCCAAUUUGUCAACAUACACCCGCCUCCUUCCUCUACAGUACACCCUCCUCCUACCCCUGCAGCAGACCCUCCUCCUACCCCUGUGAUUAUUACCCCCACUCCUCCCCCUGACCCUACUUCUUUACCUUCUUCAUCUUCUAGACCACCUUCUGAGACUGCCACACCAUCUGCUGAUCUACAUUCACCUGGUGAUGAUGAUAGUGUUGAUUCGCCCCUCCAUGAUCGACC
This 696-nucleotide long non-coding RNA is filed under the name Vigna radiata. Its description in RNAcentral is "long non-coding RNA (VRAD_LNC011846)". The record is from RNAcentral. Lineage: Eukaryota; Viridiplantae; Streptophyta; Magnoliopsida; Fabales; Fabaceae.